GAUGAACGCUAGCUACAGGCUUAACACAUGCAAGUCGAGGGGUAACGAGAGGAAAGCUUGCUUUCCUUGUCGACGACCGGCGCACGGGUGAGUAACGCGUAUCCAACCUUCCCCCAACUAGGGAAUAACCUUGCGAAAGUAAGACUAAUACCCUAUAAUUUCCUCAGAUGACAUCUGACGAGGAAUAAAGAUUUAUCGGUUGUGGAUGGGGAUGCGUCUGAUUAGCUUGUUGGCGGGGUAACGGCCCACCAAGGCAACGGUCAGUAGGGGUUCUGAGAGGAAGGGCCCCCACAUUGGAACUGAGACACGGUCCAAACUCCUACGGGAGGCAGCAGUGAGGAAUAGUGGUCAAUGGGCGGAAGCCUGAACCAGCCAAGUAGCGUGCAGGAUGACGGCCCUAUGGGUUGUAAACUGCUUUUAUGCAGGAAUAAAGUUAGCCACGUGUGGUUAUUUGUAGGUACUGUAUGAAUAAGGACCGGCUAAUUCCGUGCCAGCAGCCGCCGUAA
Molecule: ribosomal RNA, 506 nt
Filed under: uncultured bacterium
Lineage: Bacteria
Description: partial 16S ribosomal RNA
Rfam family: Bacterial small subunit ribosomal RNA
Source: RNAcentral